GACGAACGCUGGCGGCGUGCUUAACACAUGCAAGUCGAGCGGUAAGGCCCUUUCGGGGGUACACGAGCGGCGAACGGGUGAGUAACACGUGAGCAACCUGCCCUUCACUUCGGGAUAAGCCUCGGAAACGGGGUCUAAUACCGGAUAUCACUCCUUACUUCAUGGUUUGGGGUUGAAAGUUUUGGCGGUGGGGGAUGGGCUCGCGGCCUAUCAGCUUGUUGGUGGGGUAAUGGCCUACCAAGGCGUCGACGGGUAGCCGGCCUGAGAGGGCGACCGGCCACACUGGGACUGAGACACGGCCCAGACUCCUACGGGAGGCAGCAGUGGGGAAUAUUGCGCAAUGGACGGAAGUCUGACGCAGCAACGCCGCGUGAGGGAUGACGGCC
RNAcentral lists this ribosomal RNA (386 nucleotides) under uncultured bacterium. RNAcentral's name for it is "bacterial SSU rRNA". It matches the Rfam family "Bacterial small subunit ribosomal RNA", at positions 28 to 416 of the family's 1533-position model. The record is from RNAcentral.